RNAcentral lists this ribosomal RNA (481 nucleotides) under uncultured bacterium. RNAcentral's name for it is "bacterial SSU rRNA". It matches the Rfam family "Bacterial small subunit ribosomal RNA", at positions 26 to 518 of the family's 1533-position model. The record is from RNAcentral.
CGAGGACGAACGCUGGCGGCGUGCCUAACACAUGCAAGUCGAACGGACGAGGGGAGCUUGCUCCCCGAGUUAGUGGCGAACGGGUGAGUAACGCGUGAGCAACCUGCCUUUCAGAGGGGGACAACGGUUGGAAACGACCGCUAAUACCGCAUGAAGCAAUCGGACCGCAUGAUCUGAUUGCCAAAGAUUUAUCGCUGAAAGAUGGGCUCGCGUCUGAUUAGAUAGUUGGUGGGGUAACGGCCCACCAAGUCGACGAUCAGUAGCCGGACUGAGAGGUUGAACGGCCACAUUGGGACUGAGAUACGGCCCAGACUCCUACGGGAGGCAGCAGUGGGGAAUAUUGGGCAAAGUGGGGGAAACCCUGACCCAGCAACGCCGCGUGAAGGAAGAAGGCUUUCGGGUUGUAAACUUCUUUACCAGGGACGAAGGACGUGACGGUACCUGGAGAAAAAGCCACGGCUAACUACGUGCCAGCCGCUGC